Molecule: ribosomal RNA, 441 nt
Filed under: uncultured bacterium
Lineage: Bacteria
Description: partial 16S ribosomal RNA
Rfam family: Bacterial small subunit ribosomal RNA
Source: RNAcentral
CCUACGGGAGACAGCAGUGGGGGAUAUUGCACAAUGGGGGGAACCCUGAUGCAGCGACGCCGCGUGGGUGAAGGAGUGCUUCGGCAUGUAAAGCCCUAUCGGCAGGGAAGAAGCAAGACGGUACCUGACUAAGAAGCCCCGGCUAACUACGUGCCAGCAGCCGCGGUAAUACGUAGGGGGCGAGCGUUAUCCGGAUUCACUGGGGGUAAAGGGAGCGUAGACGGCCAUGCAAGCCAGGGGUGAAAGCCCGGGGCCCAACCCCGGGACUGCCCUUGGAACUGUGCGGCUAGAGUGCGGGAGGGGCAGGCGGAAUGCCUGGUGUAGCGGUGAAAUGCGUAGAUAUCAGGAGGAACACCGGCGGCGAAGGCGGCCUGCUGGACUGCGACUGACGUUGAGGCUCGAAAGCGUGGGGAGCGAACAGGAUUAGAUACCCUAGUAGUC